CUUUAACUCAGUGGGUAGAGCAUGAGACUCUUAAUUUCAGGGUUGUGGAUUCAAAACCCACAUUGGGGA
Podarcis lilfordi (Lilford's wall lizard) is the source of this 69-nucleotide non-coding RNA. Lineage: Eukaryota; Metazoa; Chordata; Lepidosauria; Squamata; Lacertidae. The record is from the annotation of a GenBank genome assembly.